GGGGGUUUAGUAUAAUGGUAGUACCAUGGACUCCAAACCCAUUAGUAGAGGUUCGAAUCCUUUAACCCCCGCCA
This 74-nucleotide transfer RNA is filed under the name Mycoplasma sp. 'Moose RK'. Its description in RNAcentral is "tRNA-Trp". It matches the Rfam family "tRNA". Rfam says of the family: Transfer RNA (tRNA) molecules are approximately 80 nucleotides in length. Lineage: Bacteria; Bacillati; Mycoplasmatota; Mollicutes; Mycoplasmatales; Mycoplasmataceae. The record is from RNAcentral.